RNAcentral lists this ribosomal RNA (460 nucleotides) under uncultured bacterium. RNAcentral describes it as "partial 16S ribosomal RNA". It matches the Rfam family "Bacterial small subunit ribosomal RNA", at positions 338 to 795 of the family's 1533-position model. The record is from RNAcentral.
CCUACGGGUGGCAGCAGUGAGGAAUAUUGGUCAAUGGACGCGAGCCUGAACCAGCCAAGUAGCGUGAAGGAUGACUGCCCUAUGGGUUGUAAACUUCUUUUAUCUGGGAGCAAAAAUUGUCACGUGUGGCCAGAUGUGUGUACCAUACGAAUAAGCAUCGGCUAACUCCGUGCCAGCAGCCGCGGUAAUACGGGGGAUGCGAGCGUUAUCCGGAUUUAUUGGGUUUAAAGGGUGCGUAGGCGGUUGGUUAAGUCAGCGGUGAAAGUCCGCGGCUCAACGGGAUAAUUGCAGUUGAAACUGGCUGUCUUGAGUGCAGAAGAGGUGGGAGGAAUUCGUGGUGUAGCGGUGAAAUGCUUAGAUAUCACACAGAACUCCGAUUGCGAAGGCAGCUCACUGAUCUGCGACUGACACUGAGGCUCGAAAGUGUGGGUAUCAAACAGGAUUAGAUACCCCUGUAGUC